CGCCACGAGCAACAGGAAGAGGUGUAGGCUGCACAAGAGUCUGGAGGCUGCUGUGAGGGCAGAGAUGUAGAAGAUUAUCACACAGAGGCAGGAACAUACGAUUAGCAACCCAUCCCCCUAAUAUAGUAAGAAUGCAUUUAUCAAUCAAUUCACACACUGAAUGGAACGCCAAUGAACCUGAGCUUUCGUCCACGGCCGGGAGGUUCAAACUGCGUUCCUCGUUGGUCGCGUAGAUCUCUUCCUCUUCUGUGGAAAGAAAGAACAAGCACUUGAUUCGAAAGCGCACAUCCCAUUGCAUGCACGCGAACACUUGCAACAUAUUAUGAAAUAGAUGACGGUGGGCCGCGGGGAGCCGCGCGCGCGACACCUCAGCUUGAUGUCGUUGCCUUCCUGCGCGAUCACGUCGCCGGUGCUCUCGUUGUCCACGAUGUCGGGCGGCACUGUGGGCGGGG
This is a long non-coding RNA of Penaeus chinensis, 452 nucleotides long. RefSeq lists it as uncharacterized. Lineage: Eukaryota; Metazoa; Arthropoda; Malacostraca; Decapoda; Penaeidae. The record is from RefSeq and is a predicted model, not a curated record. The transcript is spliced from 3 exons.